AGGCCGUGGAGCUUGCCAGC
RNAcentral lists this microRNA (20 nucleotides) under Human alphaherpesvirus 2. RNAcentral describes it as "hsv2-miR-H23-5p". Its record names the gene hsv2-miR-H23-5p. Lineage: Duplodnaviria; Heunggongvirae; Peploviricota; Herviviricetes; Herpesvirales; Orthoherpesviridae. The record is from miRBase by way of RNAcentral.